This 905-nucleotide ribosomal RNA is filed under the name uncultured bacterium. Its description in RNAcentral is "bacterial SSU rRNA". It matches the Rfam family "Bacterial small subunit ribosomal RNA", at positions 8 to 916 of the family's 1533-position model. The record is from RNAcentral.
AGAGUUUGAUCAUGGCUCAGGACGAACGCUGGCGGCGUGCCUAACACAUGCAAGUCGAACGGGACCGGGGGCAACUUCGGUUCAGUGGCGGACGGGUGCGUAACACGUGAGGAACAUGACCUUCGGCGGGGGAUAGCCGGCCCAACGGCCGGGUAAUACCGCGUACGACCAUUUGGGGACAUCCCUGGGUGGUGAAAGCAGCAAUGCGCCGAUGGAGUGCCUCGCGGCCUAUCAGCUAGUUGGUGAGGUAACGGCUCACCAAGGCAACGACGGGUAGCUGGUCUGAGAGGAUGGCCAGCCACAUUGGGACUGAGACACGGCCCAGACUCCUACGGGAGGCAGCAGUGGGGAAUAUUGCGCAAUGGACGAAAGUCUGACGCAGCGACGCCGCGUGUGGGAUGACGGUCUUCGGAUUGUAAACCACUGUCGGGAGGGACGAAUACGCCGCAAGGCGGGUGACGGUACCUCCAAAGGAAGCACCGGCUAACUCCGUGCCAGCAGCCGCGGUAAUACGGAGGGUGCGAGCGUUGUCCGGAAUCACUGGGCGUAAAGGGCGCGUAGGCGGCCUGAUAAGUAGGGGGUGAAAUCCUGCGGCUUAACCGCAGGGCUGCCUUCUAAACUGUCAGGCUUGAGCACAGUAGAGGCAGGUGGAAUUCCCGGUGUAGCGGUGGAAUGCGUAGAGAUCGGGAAGAACAUCAGUGGCGAAGGCGGCCUGCUGGGCUGUUGCUGACGCUGAGGCGCGACAGCGUGGGGAGCAAACAGGAUUAGAUACCCUGGUAGUCCACGCCGUAAACGAUGGGCACUAGGCGUCGGGGGGAGCGACCCUCCCGGUGCCGUCGCUAACGCAGUAAGUGCCCCGCCUGGGGAGUACGGGCCGCAAGGCUGAAACUCAAAGGAAUUGACGG